Molecule: ribosomal RNA, 433 nt
Filed under: uncultured bacterium
Lineage: Bacteria
Description: partial 16S ribosomal RNA
Rfam family: Bacterial small subunit ribosomal RNA
Source: RNAcentral
AACGAACGCUGGCGGCAUGCCUAACACAUGCAAGUCGAACGAGACCUUCGGGUCUAGUGGCGCACGGGUGCGUAACGCGUAGGAACCUGCCCUUAGGUUCGGAAUAACUCCCCGAAAGGGGUGCUAAUACCGGAUAAUCUCUUCGGACCAAAGAUUCAUCGCCUUUGGAUGGGCCCGCGUUGGAUUAGCUAGUUGGUAGGGUAACAGCCUACCAAGGCGACGAUCCAUAGCUGGUCUGAGAGGAUGAUCAGCCACACUGGGACUGAGACACGGCCCAGACUCCUACGAGAGGCAGCAGUGGGGAAUAUUGGACAAGGGGCGAAAGCCGGAGCCAGCAAUGCCGCGUGAGUGAUGAAGGCCUUAGGGUUGUAAAGCUCUUUUACCCGGGAUGAUAAUGACAGUACCGGGAGAAUAGGCGCCGGCUAACUCCGUG